This 550-nucleotide ribosomal RNA is filed under the name uncultured bacterium. RNAcentral describes it as "bacterial SSU rRNA". It matches the Rfam family "Bacterial small subunit ribosomal RNA", at positions 355 to 896 of the family's 1533-position model. The record is from RNAcentral.
UGGGGAAUAUUGGACAAUGGGCGAAAGCCUGAUCCAGCCAUGCCGCGUGUGUGAAGAAGGCCCUAGGGUUGUAAAGCACUUUAAGCAGGAAAGAAAAGCGCCGAGUUAAUACCUCGAGCGUAUUGACGGUACCUGCAGAAUAAGCACCGGCUAACUUCGUGCCAGCAGCCGCGGUAAUACGAAGGGUGCAAGCGUUAAUCGGAAUUACUGGGCGUAAAGCGAGUGUAGGCGGUUUCGUGUGUCGGAUGUGAAAGCCCCGGGCUCAACCUGGGAAUUGCAUUCGAAACUGCGGAACUAGAAUAUGGUAGAGGAAGACGGAAUUCCACGUGUAGCGGUGAAAUGCGUAGAUAUGUGGAGGAACACCAAUGGCGAAGGCAGUCUUCUGGGCCAAUAUUGACGCUGAGGCUCGAAAGCGUGGGUAGCAAACAGGAUUAGAUACCCUGGUAGUCCACGCCGUAAACGAUGAGAACUAGACGUUGGUUGACAUAGUCGAUCAGUGUCGUAGCAAACGCGUUAAGUUCUCCGCCUGGGGAGUACGGUCGCAAGACUA